RNAcentral lists this ribosomal RNA (447 nucleotides) under uncultured bacterium. Its description in RNAcentral is "partial 16S ribosomal RNA". It matches the Rfam family "Bacterial small subunit ribosomal RNA", at positions 29 to 523 of the family's 1533-position model. The record is from RNAcentral.
AAUGAACGCUGGCGGCAGGCCUAACACAUGCAAGUCGAACGCCCCGCAAGGGGAGUGGCGCACGGGUGAGUAACGCGAGGGAAUAUGCGCUUCGGUUCGGAAUAACACAGGGAAACUUGUGCUAAUACCGGAUACGAUCUACGGUUGAAGGAGUCAUCGCGGAAGGAGUAGCCCGCGUUGAAUUAGCUAGUUGGUGAGGUAAUGGCUAACCAAGGCGACGAUCCUUAGCUGGUCUGAGAGGAUGAACAGCCACACUGGGACUGGGACACGGCCCAGACUCCUAGGGGUGGCGGCAGUGGGGAAUAUUGGACAAUGGGCGAAAGCCUGAUACAGCCAUGCCGCGUGAGUGAUGAAGGCAUUAGGGUUGUAAAGCUCUUUCGCCAGGGAUGGUAAUGACGGUACCUGGAAAAGAAGCCUCGGCUAACUCCGUGCCAGCCGCCGCGGUAA